This 283-nucleotide unclassified non-coding RNA is filed under the name plant metagenome. Its description in RNAcentral is "partial contains small subunit ribosomal RNA, internal transcribed spacer 1, and 5.8S ribosomal RNA". The stretch from base 235 to 283 matches the Rfam family "5.8S ribosomal RNA", at positions 1 to 49 of the family's 154-position model. The record is from RNAcentral.
UUUCCGUAGGUGAACCUGCGGAAGGAUCAUUAUUGUAUAACCGAGGUGCGAGGGCUGUCGCUGACCCGAAAGGUCGUGCACGCCCGAGUGCGCUCACACACAUCCAUCUCACCCCUAUGUGCACCACCGCGUGGGUCCCCCUUUGGCUUGUUCGGAGGGGGGCUUACGCUUUCACACAAACUUUGUAUGCAGUGUAGAAUGUAUUUUUUGUUUUUGCGAUCACGCAAUCAAUACAACUUUCAACAACGGAUCUCUUGGCUCUCACAUCGAUGAAGAACGCAGC